GAUCCCCUCGAUAGUCUGUUCGAUGACCUUGACGUGGACAGCACAGAAGGAGUGGUCCCAUUUUUUACCAAGGUGGUGGCCCUGCUGGAAAGGGAGCAUGUUCUUACAGAUCUACUGAUAGAGAGCAUCGAGGACUACUCCUUCAGUGAGGACGAAGUCUCUUCAGGUAGGGAAUGGCACCGAGGAGGGGAACACUGGGACAGGGCUCCCGGGAACAUGGGGUUGCCCCUGCCGCUCUGGAGAAUGAAGAAGGUGGG
Molecule: long non-coding RNA, 257 nt
Organism: Mustela lutreola (European mink)
Lineage: Eukaryota; Metazoa; Chordata; Mammalia; Carnivora; Mustelidae
Exons: 3
Source: RefSeq, a predicted model, not a curated record